Molecule: non-coding RNA, 73 nt
Organism: Lagenorhynchus albirostris (white-beaked dolphin)
Lineage: Eukaryota; Metazoa; Chordata; Mammalia; Artiodactyla; Delphinidae
Source: the annotation of a RefSeq genome assembly
ACCCCAGUGGCCUAAUGGCUAAGGCACUGGCUUCCUAAACCAGGGGCUGUGGGUUCGAGUCCCACCUGGGGUA